GAGUUUGAUCUUGGCUCAGGACGAACGCUGGCGGCGUGCCUAAUACAUGCAAGUCGAGCGAGGGUUUUCGGACCCUAGCGGCGGACGGGUGAGUAGCACGUAGGCAACCUGCCUCUCAGACCGGGAUAACAUAGGGAAACUUAUGCUAAUACCGGAUAGGUUUUUGGAUUGCAUGAUCCGAAAAGAAAAGAUGGCUUUUGGCUAUCACUGGGAGAUGGGCCUGCGGCGCAUUAGCUAGUUGUGGGUAACGGCCUACCAAGGCGACGAUGCGUAGCCGACCUGAGAGGGUGACCGGCCACACUGGGACUGAGACACGGCCCAGACUCCUACGGGAGGCAGCAGUAGGG
This 347-nucleotide ribosomal RNA is filed under the name uncultured microorganism. RNAcentral describes it as "bacterial SSU rRNA". It matches the Rfam family "Bacterial small subunit ribosomal RNA", at positions 9 to 359 of the family's 1533-position model. The record is from RNAcentral.